CCAGUUGCUUCACUCUUUGCAGAAAACCUACUGCAUUGUACAAUGUAAACAUUUUUCAUUAAAAAAGCUGUAAAUAAAACACAAUUUAUAGGAGUAUGUCUUUCUACUACUUUCUAAUUUCUUUGUAAUUAACAGUGAAACUAAUAAUUGCUGAGUGAAAAUUGUACACCAAUUGUACACUUACUUUUGAUUUCUAAUAUAUAAUAUCUUUUUUAUAAUACACAAUCUGUAUAUAUGUUACUCAAAAAAACUUAUUUGUACUUUAUUAUUAUUAGUAGUAGCUGUAGUAUUUACAUUAAAACAUUUCAGCUGAGCAGAAAUGGACAGCUCACAUAAAUUUUCGGCUUUUCAGGUUUAACUUUGAUUUUGGAUUUUAUUAUUAUGUAUUGCAUGAUUAAUAGCUCGUGCUUGUUCGCUCGUUCUUUUUUCCUACGCCAGUGCUUUCUUUUCGAUUGGUUGGAGCGCUAAAGAUCGGAAGUAGUUUAUUUAUGCUAAUGAAGGAGUUGGGGGUUGUAGAUAUUUACGUUCAACGGGAGACGCCCUUCAUUCACCCACAUGGUUCAAGGCAGGUCGCCUUCGCGCCACUUUUGCAAUUUUACUACGAUUAAGAAAGUCGUUUUAGCAGAAGUUUCACUUCACUUUGGAUGCGCGCCGCGUGCGUUACGUUCGAGCUCGGUCCACUUUUAAGUUUACGCACCAGUUUCGCAGAUUUGUCCAGAGCUGUGGCAGUAAACGGCAAGUGAGUGAAGAUGGUGGAUUUCACUGAAACCUCAAGAAAGAUGGGAGUAGUUUCCCGCAAGUUCACUGGAGGCUGUCCACUGGACGUUGUUGUGUUGAUGGUGUGGACGUGGUUGGAGUCAGUGUAUUGUCAAAGUGCUUACAGUGCAGGUAGUAUUAUGGAAUAUCUACUGCAGUGGAGGCACUUCUAGCAAUACACUUGGCCAUUGCUUUUUCCCUCCGCCAAACAUCCUUCACCAAGACCCCAUACUAACGGCUUUGUGCUAAGGUGCAUCUAGUGCAGAUAGUGAAGUAGACUAGCACCUACUGCCCUAAGUGCUCCUUCUGGCACGAGGGACUGUGACUUUCAUCCUUGUUUGCAAAUUAAGUCAUAGUUUUUCUUGUCUUUUGGUGCAGUUCUCUGCUAGUUUUGCAUAGUUGCACUACAAGAAAACCGGAGUUGUGCAAAUCUAUGCAAAACUGAUGGUGGCCUGCUGCUUCUCCACGUUUCCCAAAUUUCAGUUUGAAGUCUGAAAAGCGGUGCCCCCCCCCCCAACCAUUCUUUUAAAUAAAACCUGCCAUUGUGUUAGAGUUUCAGCAGUGCUAAAGUGCUUAUAGUGCAGGUAGUAUUUCUGUCAUCUACUGCAGUGUGAGCACUUGAAGUACUUCUAGCUAAAUGCAUCUGGGAUCUGAAGACCCUUGCCGAACACUCCUAGGUCUCUGGACGCUGUGUAUCCUUGCUGGACCCCAGUCAGUUUUGCUGGUUUGCAUCCAGCUUAAGACAGCGCGCUGUGCAAAUCCAUGCAAAACUGACAGUGGCAGCCCAUCCAAGAACCGCUUUUGGAGCCGUUUGGUCCCUUUCUGCACAGGUUGGGAUUAGUAGCAAUGCUGUGUGUUUGGAAGGUAUUGCACUUGUCCCGGCCUGUAGAGGAUUGUGGAGAUUGUACCCCACAAUUUAAGUUCCCUAGAAUACCCAUUCUUUUCCAUAAAUGCAGUUUUUAUAAUUUUUUUUUGUGAGCUUGAAUAUUCGGGAGUUUUAUUUUUUUUUUAUACAUUGUAUGUUUUUAAAUGAAAACAUUGUCAAUAAACGAUUAAGAUAUG
This is a long non-coding RNA of Carassius auratus (goldfish), 1818 nucleotides long. RefSeq lists it as uncharacterized. Lineage: Eukaryota; Metazoa; Chordata; Actinopteri; Cypriniformes; Cyprinidae. The record is from RefSeq and is a predicted model, not a curated record. The transcript is spliced from 2 exons.